Non-coding RNA from Triticum aestivum (bread wheat), 125 nucleotides. The record is from Rfam. NCBI's taxonomy places the organism in Eukaryota, Viridiplantae, Streptophyta, Magnoliopsida, Poales, Poaceae.
AUUAUACUCCCUCCGUACAGAAAUACUCAUCGGAGAAAUGGAUAAAUAUGGAUGUAUCUAGAACUAAAAUACAUCUAGAUACAUCCAUUCCUACGACAAGUAUUUCCGGACGGAGGGAGUAUGAG